This 529-nucleotide ribosomal RNA is filed under the name uncultured bacterium. RNAcentral describes it as "partial 16S ribosomal RNA". It matches the Rfam family "Bacterial small subunit ribosomal RNA", at positions 355 to 874 of the family's 1533-position model. The record is from RNAcentral.
UGGGGAAUAUUGCACAAUGGGCGCAAGCCUGAUGCAGCCAUGCCGCGUGUGUGAAGAAGGCCUCGGGUUGUAAAGCACUUCAGCGAGGAGGAAGGUGGUGAGCUUAAUACGCUCAUCAAUUGACGUUACUCGCAGAAGAAGCACCGGCUAACUCCGUGCCAGCAGCCGCGGUAAUACGGAGGGUGCAAGCGUUAAUCGGAAUUACUGGGCGUAAAGCGCACGCAGGCGGUUUGUUAAGUCAGAUGUGAAAUCCCCGGGCUCAACCUGGGAACUGCAUUUGAAACUGGCAAGCUAGAGUCUCGUAGAGGGGGGUAGAAUUCCAGGUGUAGCGGUGAAAUGCGUAGAGAUCUGGAGGAAUACCGGUGGCGAAGGCGGCCCCCUGGACGAAGACUGACGCUCAGGUGCGAAAGCGUGGGGCAGCAAACAGGAUUAGAUACCCCUGGUAGUCCACGCUGUAAAACGAUGUCGAUUUUGGAGGUUGUGCCCUUGAGGCGUGGCUUCCGGAGCUAACGCGUUAAAUCGACCGCCU